CCUACGGGAGGCUGCAGUGGGGAAUAUUGGACAAUGGGCGAAAGCCUGAUCCAGCCAUGCCGCGUGUGUGAAGAAGGCCUUCGGGUUGUAAAGCACUUUCAGUGGGGAAGAAAGCCUUGGGGCUAAUACCCUCGAGGAAGGACAUCACCCACAGAAGAAGCACCGGCUAACUCCGUGCCAGCAGCCGCGGUAAUACGGAGGGUGCGAGCGUUAAUCGGAAUUACUGGGCGUAAAGCGCGCGUAGGCGGUCUGAUAAGCCGGUUGUGAAAGCCCCGGGCUCAACCUGGGAACGGCAUCCGGAACUGUCAGGCUAGAGUGCAGGAGAGGAAGGUAGAAUUCCCGGUGUAGCGGUGAAAUGCGUAGAGAUCGGGAGGAAUACCAGUGGCGAAGGCGGCCUUCUGGACUGACACUGACGCUGAGGUGCGAAAGCGUGGGUAGCAAACAGGAUUAGAUACCCCAGUAGC
RNAcentral lists this ribosomal RNA (464 nucleotides) under Vreelandella stevensii. Its description in RNAcentral is "partial 16S ribosomal RNA". It matches the Rfam family "Bacterial small subunit ribosomal RNA", at positions 338 to 794 of the family's 1533-position model. Lineage: Bacteria; Pseudomonadati; Pseudomonadota; Gammaproteobacteria; Oceanospirillales; Halomonadaceae. The record is from RNAcentral.